RNAcentral lists this transfer RNA (67 nucleotides) under Ceutorhynchus parvulus. RNAcentral describes it as "tRNA-Leu". It matches the Rfam family "tRNA". Rfam says of the family: Transfer RNA (tRNA) molecules are approximately 80 nucleotides in length. Their secondary structure includes four short double-helical elements and three loops (D, anti-codon, and T loops). The record is from RNAcentral. Lineage: Eukaryota; Metazoa; Arthropoda; Insecta; Coleoptera; Curculionidae.
UCUAAUAUGGCAGAUUAGUGCAUUGGAUUUAAACCCCAAAAAUAUAGGAUGAACCCUUUUUUUAGAA